Molecule: long non-coding RNA, 1730 nt
Filed under: Apteryx owenii (little spotted kiwi)
Lineage: Eukaryota; Metazoa; Chordata; Aves; Apterygiformes; Apterygidae
Description: lncRNA (ENSAOWG00000011057.1)
Source: RNAcentral
UUAAUCGCCUGCCCCGGAGUGAACAAGACUGUUGUGCCUUGGGGAGCAGCCACGUGCAUCGUGCAGGGCUCAACGCUUACAGCGUGUGCAAACUGCUUCCGAGGAGAAACAUGGAAGUACAGCUGCAUGAAGAAUUGCGACAGAAGAAGCACAAAAUGCUAGUUUUAUGAGAUCUUUGGCUAUGAUGGCUUGCUCUUGUGCUGAGCGCUUGAUAAACUGUACUCCAGUAGGAUGACGAACAAGUGCGGACAAAACUACUCAAUAAAGCAGCGUCGGCCUUGGUGAAGGGAAGUGCCGUGUCGCCGAGGUGCAAAAAUAGCAAGUCUUUUCCAAACCUCGUCUCCAGCAGCAGCACUGUGGGCUGACUGUUUGCACGCUGACCUGACAACUGUUGUGAUACCCGUCUGGGGAAAGGUGCUGGCACGCAGUACCUCUUCUAAAAGCACCGCUUCGGCCGGCACUGAAACAUUAAGUGCAGCCAAACCAGCGGCGGCGGUGGCCCGUGCGCAGGUGGGUGGAUGCUAGGAAGUCACCAGCUGCCUUUUGCCCGUCUUCUCUGCUUGCAGCUUCAGGUCAUGGAUUACUGAUGGUCCUCUGCAGGCUGCUGUCCUCAAUAUCUUUAUCUGUGUUUCGUGUGCUAUUGCCUUUUACCUGUUCCCACAGACUCACUCACGGUGGCCCUAAGUCUGCAAAGGCUAGAUGCAAGAGUCUUCAGUAUCUGUACACUUCAGACACCCCCAGCCGGAGCUGUGCCGCUCUGUUGUUUCGCAGAUGUUGGCAGAGGACAACCCUGCAGUGAGACCUCCCUCUGCUACCAAGGCUGUCAGGCACUGUGCUGGAUCUACAGGGCAGUUUGGGAUUUUGAUCUUUAUACAGAGCUCACUCUGAGAGCGGUGUUUCUGUAUGGUAUUAGGCGUUUCCCUAGUGGAAGAUGCACUCACAGCUCCAUUUUUUCUUACAUUUUGUCAUACACUAUUGUUUUUUCAGCUAAUACUUACCACUUUUGGCUCUAGGAUAUUCUCUGCUUUAUGUCUUUGUAAUUAUUUAUAAUACCAAGCAAUGGUUCUAACUGUUACUAGUUAAGAUCAAUAUGUCACUAGAGAUAGCAUCUCUUAGCUGUUAAAGCCAUCCAUUAGAUAUUUUAUGGGAGUGACCAGUGGAGACUUCAUCAUUAACGCUAACUAACUUAAUUUUCACCUUUGUGUGUGUGAAUCAGACCCUGAAUAACACUGACUUGAUGAACAGGAGUGCACAGGAGACAAAAUUCAGCAAGACAUACUUGGUUUGACUUAGGAGUGAAUUUUUUCAAAGUGAGUCUUUUAAGCCAAAAUAUUCAAAACUCUGUUAAAUUUGGGGGCAAGAUAACAGCAUCAUAUAGAAUACUAAAAAUGCAUUUCUUUUUCUUUUAAGAAUCAGGUAGGUGUGUGUAUUUGAUAAAAAAAUACCAGAAUUCCUCUUCUCUACCCUCCCCCAGAAAAAGCAGAGUCAAGGUUGUGUAAGUGCAUUUCCUAUCCAUUCAGUCAGCAGAAAUCAGGUCAUCCCUCCUUAGGGCUACAUUAGCAUUCAGAUCAAGCUCAGUUCACUCACAUUCCCGCCCAAACAUCUUAUUACAGCAGCCAGGCUAGGCUCCUCAUGGCACGACAGAUUUGCUCCUACUUCCCACAUUUGGCCACGUGAAAGGUGCUUUCAGUCCCUUUACUUGCACGAGCGCAGCCAGGAGCCGUUCUUGG